This 1292-nucleotide ribosomal RNA is filed under the name Aliivibrio fischeri SR5. Its description in RNAcentral is "bacterial LSU rRNA". It matches the Rfam family "Bacterial large subunit ribosomal RNA", at positions 950 to 2226 of the family's 2925-position model. Lineage: Bacteria; Pseudomonadati; Pseudomonadota; Gammaproteobacteria; Vibrionales; Vibrionaceae. The record is from RNAcentral.
CAAACUCCGAAUACCAGUAAGUACUAUCCGGGAGACACACGGCGGGUGCUAACGUCCGUCGUGGAGAGGGAAACAACCCAGACCGCCAGCUAAGGUCCCAAAGUUAUAGUUAAGUGGGAAACGAUGUGGGAAGGCUCAGACAGCCAGGAUGUUGGCUUAGAAGCAGCCAUCAUUUAAAGAAAGCGUAAUAGCUCACUGGUCGAGUCGGCCUGCGCGGAAGAUGUAACGGGGCUAAACUAUACACCGAAGCUGCGGCAAUACAGUUUACUGUAUUGGGUAGGGGAGCGUUCUGUAAGCGGUUGAAGGUGCGUUGUAAAGCGUGCUGGACGUAUCAGAAGUGCGAAUGCUGACAUGAGUAACGAUAAAGCGGGUGAAAAACCCGCUCGCCGGAAGACCAAGGGUUCCUGUCCAACGUUAAUCGGGGCAGGGUAAGUCGACCCCUAAGGCGAGGCCGAAAGGCGUAGUCGAUGGGAAACGGGUUAAUAUUCCCGUACUUCUUACAAUUGCGAUGGGGGGACGGAGAAGGCUAGGUGGGCUUGGCGACGGUCGUCCAAGUUCAAGUAUGUAGGCUGUAUUCUUAGGCAAAUCCGGGAAUACACUAGGCUGAGAUACGAUGUCGAGCUACUACGGUAGUGAAGCCAUUGAUGCCAUGCUUCCAGGAAAAGCCUCUAAGCUUCAGAUUGUAAGGAAUCGUACCCCAAACCGACACAGGUGGUCGAGUAGAGAAUACUAAGGCGCUUGAGAGAACUCGGGUGAAGGAACUAGGCAAAAUGGUACCGUAACUUCGGGAGAAGGUACGCUCCUAGCGGUGAUGAGACUUGCUCUCUAAGCUGCCGGGAGUCGCAGAUACCAGGUGGCUGCAACUGUUUAUUAAAAACAUAGCACUGUGCUAAAUCGUAAGAUGACGUAUACGGUGUGACGCCUGCCCGGUGCUUGAAGGUUAAUUGAUGGGGUUAGACUUCGGUCGAAGCUCUUGAUCGAAGCCCAAGUAAACGGCGGCCGUAACUAUAACGGUCCUAAGGUAGCGAAAUUCCUUGUCGGGUAAGUUCCGACCUGCACGAAUGGCGUAAUGAUGGCCACGCUGUCUCCACCCGAGACUCAGUGAAAUUGAAAUCGCUGUGAAGAUGCAGUGUACCCGCGGCUAGACGGAAAGACCCCGUGAACCUUUACUACAGCUUGGCACUGAACAUUGACCCUACAUGUGUAGGAUAGGUGGGAGCCUUUGAAGCAAGUACGCCAGUAUUUGUGGAGGCAAUCUUGAAAUACCACCCUUGUAUGCUUGAUGUUCUAAC